AAAGACUUAGUCCUAACCUUACCGUUAAUUCAUGCCAGACAUAUACAUGCAAGUAUCCGCGCCCCAGUGAAAAUGCCUCUAUCUCAUUACACAAAGAUAAAGGAGCGGGCAUCAGGCACACCCACUGUNNNNUAGCCGAAGACGCCUUGCUCAGCCACACCCCCACGGGUACUCAGCAGUAAUUAACAUUAAGCAAUGAGUGUAAACUUGACUUAGUUACAGCAACUAUUAGGGUUGGUAAAUCUUGUGCCAGCCACCGCGGUUACACAAGAAACCCAAAUUAACGUACACGGCGUAAAGAGUGGCCCCUUAAUUAUCCGAGCAACUAAGAUUAAAACACACCUGAGCCGUCAUAAGCUUAAGAUGUCCAUAAACCCCCCUCAAAGCGAUCUUAGUAACAACGACUAACACUACCCCACGAAAGCUAGGAUACNACUGAGAUUAGAUACCCCACUAUGCCUAGCCCUAGAUUCUGAUACUUGACUGCCACAAAAGUAUCCGCCCGAGAACUACGAGCGCAAACGCUUAAAACUCUAAGGACUUGGCGGUGCCCAAACCCACCUAGAGGAGCCUGUUCUAUAAUCGAUACCCCACGCUACACCCAACCCCUCCUUGCCAAAACAGCCUACAUACCGCCGUCACCAGCUCGCCUCCCCUGAGAGUGCAACAGCGAGCCCAAUAGUCGCCCCACAAACAAGACAGGUCAAGGUAUAGCUCAUGGAGCGAAGAAAUGGGCUACAUUUUCUAAAUAGAACAGCCUUUACGGAAAGGGAUAUGAAAUUGUCCCUAAAAGGCGGAUUUAGCAGUAAAGCGGGACAAUAGCGCCCUCUUUAAACCGGCCCUGGGGCACGUACAUACCGCCCGUCACCCUCCUCGCAAGCCAUACCACCUAUAACUAAUAUGCCGCUAGCGUAAGAUGAGGUAAGUCGUAACAAGGUAAGUGUACCGGAAGGUGUACUUAGCAUAC
Molecule: non-coding RNA, 967 nt
Filed under: Sagittarius serpentarius
Lineage: Eukaryota; Metazoa; Chordata; Aves; Accipitriformes; Sagittariidae
Description: partial 12S ribosomal RNA
Rfam family: Bacterial small subunit ribosomal RNA
Source: RNAcentral